This 585-nucleotide ribosomal RNA is filed under the name uncultured bacterium. RNAcentral's name for it is "bacterial SSU rRNA". It matches the Rfam family "Bacterial small subunit ribosomal RNA", at positions 338 to 916 of the family's 1533-position model. The record is from RNAcentral.
CCUACGGGAGGCAGCAGUGGGGAAUUUUGGACAAUGGGCGAAAGCCUGAUCCAGCAAUGCCGCGUGAGUGAAGAAGGCCUUCGGGUUGUAAAGCUCUUUUGUCAGGGAAGAAACGGUGAGAGCUAAUAUCUCUUGCUAAUGACGGUACCUGAAGAAUAAGCACCGGCUAACUACGUGCCAGCAGCCGCGGUAAUACGUAGGGUGCAAGCGUUAAUCGGAAUUACUGGGCGUAAAGCGUGCGCAGGCGGUUUUGUAAGUCUGAUGUGAAAUCCCCGGGCUCAACCUGGGAAUUGCAUUGGAGACUGCAAGGCUAGAAUCUGGCAGAGGGGGGUAGAAUUCCACGUGUAGCAGUGAAAUGCGUAGAUAUGUGGAGGAACACCGAUGGCGAAGGCAGCCCCCUGGGUCAAGAUUGACGCUCAUGCACGAAAGCGUGGGGAGCAAACAGGAUUAGAUACCCUGGUAGUCCACGCCCUAAACGAUGUCUACUAGUUGUCGGGUCUUAAUUGACUUGGUAACGCAGCUAACGCGUGAAGUAGACCGCCUGGGGAGUACGGUCGCAAGAUUAAAACUCAAAUGAAUUGACGG